UUCGCAAUGCCCGAAAGGGUGACGAUGCGACGCCGCGUGAGCGAAGAAGGCCCUAGGGUUGUAAAGCUCUGUCGAGGGUUAUGAAAUAUAGAUGGGUUAAUACCCCAUUUAUUUGACAAAAGCCCAAAAGGAAGCCACGGCUAACUCUGUGCCAGCAGCCGCGGUAAUACAGAGGUGGCGAGCGUUGUUCGGUAUUAUUGGGCGUAAAGAGCACGUAGGUGGUUUUGUAAGUCAGGUGUGAAAGCCUUCUGUUCAAAGGAAGAACGGCAUCUGAAACUGCAGAUCUUGAGCGUAGGAGGGGAGAGUGGAACUUCUGGUGGAGCGGUGAAAUGCGUAGAUAUCAGAGGGAACGUCGGCGGCGAAAGCGACUCUCUGGCCUAUUACUGACACUGAGGUGCGAAAGUUAGGGGAGCAAACGGGAUUAGAUACCCCGGUAGUCCUAACCGUAAACGAUGGGCACUAAGUAGAGGGGUUUU
RNAcentral lists this ribosomal RNA (476 nucleotides) under Candidatus Scalindua wagneri. RNAcentral's name for it is "bacterial SSU rRNA". It matches the Rfam family "Bacterial small subunit ribosomal RNA", at positions 365 to 832 of the family's 1533-position model. The record is from RNAcentral. Lineage: Bacteria; Pseudomonadati; Planctomycetota; Candidatus Brocadiia; Candidatus Brocadiales; Candidatus Scalinduaceae.